GAUGAACGCUGGCGGCGUGCCUAAUACAUGCAAGUCGAGCGAACAGACGAGGAGCUUGCUCCUCUGACGUUAGCGGCGGACGGGUGAGUAACACGUGGAUAACCUACCUAUAAGACUGGGAUAACUUCGGGAAACCGGAGCUAAUACCGGAUAAUAUCUUGAACCGCAUGGUUCAAUAGUGAAAGACGGUUUUGCUGUCACUUAUAGAUGGAUCCGCGCCGCAUUAGCUAGUUGUUAAGGUAACGGCUUACCAAGGCAACGAUGCGUAGCCGAACUGAGAGGGUGAUCGGCCACACUGGAACUGAGACACGGUCCAGACUCCUACGGGAGGCAGCAGUAGGGAAUCUUCCGCAAUGGGCGAAAGCCUGACGGAGCAACGCCGCGUGAGUGAUGGAGGUCUUCGGAUCGUAAAACUCUGUUAUUAGGUAAGAACAAAUGUGUAAGUAACUAUGCACGUCUUGACGGUACCUAAUCAGAAAGCCACGGCUAACUACGUG
This 497-nucleotide ribosomal RNA is filed under the name uncultured bacterium. RNAcentral's name for it is "partial 16S ribosomal RNA". It matches the Rfam family "Bacterial small subunit ribosomal RNA", at positions 28 to 507 of the family's 1533-position model. The record is from RNAcentral.